This 253-nucleotide ribosomal RNA is filed under the name uncultured bacterium. Its description in RNAcentral is "partial 16S ribosomal RNA". It matches the Rfam family "Bacterial small subunit ribosomal RNA", at positions 524 to 776 of the family's 1533-position model. The record is from RNAcentral.
GACAGAGGAUGCAAGCGUUAUCCGGAAUUAUUGGGCGUAAAGCGCACGUAGGCGGCUUUGCAAGUCCCAUGUGAAAUCCCACGGCUCAACCGUGGAAGUGCAUGGGAAACUGCAGAGCUUGAGUACUUAAGAGGAUCGCGGAAUUCCCGGUGUAGAGGUGAAAUUCGUAGAUAUCGGGAGGAACACCAGUGGCGAAGGCGGCGAUCUGGGAAGAUACUGACGCUGAGGUGCGAAAGCGUGGGGAGCAAACAGG